AAUAGCUCAGUCGGUAGAGCGCCGGACUGUUAAUCCGUAGGUCGUUGGUUCGAGCCCAACUU
RNAcentral lists this transfer RNA (62 nucleotides) under human gut metagenome. It matches the Rfam family "tRNA", at positions 6 to 65 of the family's 71-position model. Rfam says of the family: Transfer RNA (tRNA) molecules are approximately 80 nucleotides in length. RNAcentral also lists the same sequence under 1 other name. The record is from RNAcentral.